This 598-nucleotide ribosomal RNA is filed under the name uncultured Bacteroidota bacterium. RNAcentral's name for it is "bacterial SSU rRNA". It matches the Rfam family "Bacterial small subunit ribosomal RNA", at positions 33 to 635 of the family's 1533-position model. The record is from RNAcentral. Lineage: Bacteria; Pseudomonadati; Bacteroidota.
ACGCUACGGCGGCUAUACAUGCAGUCGAGCGGUACAUUGAAGCUUGCUUCAAUGACGAGCGGCAAACGGGUGCAUAACACGUAUCUAACCUACCCCUAACAAGAAGAUAGCCCAUGGAAACGUGGAUUAAUAUUCUAUAAUACUAGAGUGGCAUCACUCGAAGUUAAAAGAUCCGUCGGUUAGGGAUGGAGAUGCGUCCUAUUAGCUAGUUGGUGAGGUAAUGGCUCACCUAAGCUCCGAUAGGUAGGGGUCCUGAGAGGGAGAUCCCCCACACUGGUACUGAGACACGGACCAGACUUCUACGGAAGGCAGCAGUAAGGAAUAUUGGACAAUGGAGGCAACUCUGAUCCAGCCAUGCCGCGUGAAGGAAGACGGCCUUAUGGGUUGUAAACUUCUUUUAUACAGGAAGAAACCUUUCCACGUGUGGAAAGCUGACGGUACUGUAAGAAUAAGGAUCGGCUAACUCCGUGCCAGCAGCCGCGGUAAUACGGAGGAUCCAAGCGUUAUCCGGAAUUAUUGGGUUUCAAGGGUCCGUAGGCGGGCUAUUAAGUCAGAGGUGAAAGUUUGCAGCUCAACGGUAAAAUUGGCUUUGAUACUG